RNAcentral lists this ribosomal RNA (294 nucleotides) under Nemertea sp. Antarctic ARM-2008. Its description in RNAcentral is "partial 16S ribosomal RNA". Lineage: Eukaryota; Metazoa; Nemertea. The record is from RNAcentral.
GACAAGAAGACCCUUUUAAGCUUUAUUUAGAAUUCUUUGGCUUUUUCUUUCAAGAAUUUGGCUAAGGUCUAUAAAUUUGGUUGGGGUGACUGAAGAAGAUAAAAUCUUCUUUUGUUUAUUAGUACUUUAGGUUAAAAAAUGACCCAAGAUUUCUUGGUUGUAAGAAUUAGUUACUAAAGGGAUAACAGCGUAAUCUUUUCAAAGAGUUCUUAUGGAAGAAAAGGAUUGCCACCUCUAUAUGGACUAGCCUGCUUUCCUGUUAUGUUGAUGUGGUUGUUAAGAAAGCCUGUUAAA